UACGUAGGGGGCUAGCGUUGUCCGGAAUCAUUGGGCGUAAAGCGCGUGUAGGCGGCCCGAUAAGUCCGCUGUGAAAGUCCAGGGCUCAACCCUGGGAUGCCGGUGGAUACUGUCGGGCUCGAGUCCGGAAGAGGCGAGUGGAAUUCCUGGUGUAGCGGUGAAAUGCGCAGAUAUCAGGAGGAACACCAAUGGCGAAGGCAGCACUCUGGGACGGUACUGACGCUGAGACGCGAAAGCGUGGGGAGCGAACAGG
This 253-nucleotide ribosomal RNA is filed under the name uncultured bacterium. Its description in RNAcentral is "partial 16S ribosomal RNA". It matches the Rfam family "Bacterial small subunit ribosomal RNA", at positions 524 to 776 of the family's 1533-position model. The record is from RNAcentral.